UAACGAGAUCCGAGGCCUCGGGGGAGAGGUUUCCCCCUAAGCACGCCUUGCUGCCAGCACCCCCACCUCCAGCCUUGUGACUGCCCAGUUUCUGCCCCCCAUUUGGGGUUUUACCCCAUUUCUGGUCAUUUUUGCAGGAGGAGAAGGGCCCCGGCAGCAGGGGCUUUCGGUGGCCACGGAAGGCAUUGCCUUGGGCAGAUGAGGCCGAUGUAGUUUCCCUCCGGGGAACUGUAGGGUUAAAAGGAAAAGAAAAGGCUCUAACCAGACAAAAAUAGGGAGAAAUCUUUGAGAGGAGAGAGAGGAGGAGCGGGGAGAGGGAGAGAAGAAAGGAGGUGGAAGUGGAGGAGGACAGCAAGUGGCUGAGUGAGGAAGAGGAGGGGGAGGAGGAGAAAGGUCUAAUGGCUUUUCCAUUAAUUGCACCAUUACCCGCUUCCAUCCCCACCUUCGCGUCCCCGCAUCCAGCCGCGGUGGCAGGGGCCCCGUUCCCACUCGUGGCCGGGACACGGGGCUGGGGACAGGGUCCCCGAGGGCAGCGUGAUGGGGACAGGGAGCACUGCUCGCCCCAAUGCCUGCGUACCCGUGUGGGUUUGUCCCCAAGGGCAGGGAUGGACACCGAUGCAGAAGGCAGCCCCCUGUGCCCCCCAUCCCAGCAAAGCCCCCCGUGGUGUGCAGGGUUUGUGGGGUUUGUGCAGCCCGGCACAGACAGGGCUCUCCAGGAAGGGUUUCUCCCUUGCCGGCCUCCUCUCUGUUUGUUUUUUUUUUUUUUUCCCUUUUUAUCAGCAUUUUUCCCUCUUUGAAGGAGAGGAGGAGCUGGGUUUCUCAGUGCCGAGCAUGUUCUGCGUUGCGACUGAAAUUCUCCCACCCGGGACCCGCCGUGUGCCGAGCCCCGUCCCUGGGCACAGCGCGAGGCUGAGCCACGGCUUCGGAUCUCAACUUUAAAAAAAGAGAGGGAGAGAACCCAGACCUAAAACUCUGGCUAGACUGACUGAGUGAAACCGGCACCGGCCCAGAUCAGAAACUGGAAACGAGACAAGACAAGGCGAAUGUUUUUCAUGGAGAUAUUAGUAAAACUGAAGGGAGAACAAAUCGAACACGUUUUCAUGGAAAUUUCCAUUUUUGACAAAAAAAAUAAAAAAAUAAAAGAAGGACUAAACUUGGAUGCGUUUACAUAAAUAUGGAAAUGAAAACCGUUCCUCGCACCUCGCCGCCGCCCCAUGGCCAGCCCCACUCCCUCUGCCUGCUCCCCCUGUCCCCGCAGCCCCGUGCCAGGACCCCGGGGGGACCUCAGCCCCUGCGUGCUGAGCACUGAGCACCCUCCUCCUGCAAGGCACCGGUUUAUAUUUGGCAACCACUUGCCAGGAGGCUUUGCCAAAUGGCAGCUGGCGCUGCAGCCACGCUGCCGAUGGGCACGAGGUUGGUGAUGUCCCGGCGGAGCACCUUGCUAAGCGAGCUGGGGAUGGAGAUGGGGCAUCGUGGGGCUGGUGGAGGAGCUGAGCCCCCUGUGAAGCCCGUCCCUUGUCCUGCUGCAGGGGAUGUGCCCACGGAGCCAGCAACACAGUGACAGGGAUGCAAGGAGCAGUUGGGACGGGCGCACUGACAGCCAGGCUCUGGCUUUGCAAACUCCAUCCCAUCCCUGCAAGGAGAGGGCCUCCUGUAUUAUGCCUUGCUGUCAGCUUUUUUUUUUUUUCUUUGUUUCUAUAGAAAAUCCCAAUUCCCCCAAAUAAUCCAGCUAAGAGUAAAAAAAAAAAAAAAAAAAAA
Molecule: long non-coding RNA, 1758 nt
Organism: Cygnus olor (mute swan)
Lineage: Eukaryota; Metazoa; Chordata; Aves; Anseriformes; Anatidae
Exons: 2
Source: RefSeq, a predicted model, not a curated record